This is a long non-coding RNA of Beta vulgaris subsp. vulgaris (sugar beet), 2925 nucleotides long. RefSeq lists it as uncharacterized. NCBI's taxonomy places the organism in Eukaryota, Viridiplantae, Streptophyta, Magnoliopsida, Caryophyllales, Amaranthaceae. The record is from RefSeq and is a predicted model, not a curated record. The transcript has 4 exons.
ACGAAACAGACUAAUCAUGGAUUGCGAAUUUGCGAAAAAAUCUUCACAACUUGAAUCAUAAUUUGCGAAAAAAAAUUCACAACUUUAAUCAUAAUUACGAAAAAAAAUUCACAACUUACAUCAGAUUGAAACUCGAUUGGGUCAAAAUUAUCGUCCAUUGAAUAUCAAAUUAAAAUUUUUAGAUCUUCAAUGAAGUUUUUUAUAUCUAACAGUUAGAGAGAUGGAGAGAAUAUUUUUUAGAGAGAUAAAGGAUUUUUAGAAAGAAUAUGAUAAUAAGGGUUUUUUUAAGGCUGCAUUAGUAAAGUGAGGCUGCAUUUAGCAACCCCAAAAAAUAAGGGGAAAAGAAAAUGAAAACUGAUUUCCAUCUUCUUAGUUCUUCCCCUCCCCUCUUCUUCGCUCGUCUGAUUCAACAGCUCCAAAGGAGCCAAAUUGUCAACAAUUUACAACUCUUGUCAGUAGAGAUAUUAGGGGCAACAAAUUUCCAAAGCUAGUUUAACACCAUAGCCCUCUCACCUCACUUCCACCAUUAAUGGAGCUUGACUUAGCUCCACAAAUUCAGAAAAUUUUGUCUAUAAAUAGCAACUCAAGCACAUUCAAUUGCUCAAGCAAACAAGUUAAACUUCAAAGACUCCGAUUUCGUAGACGAGGAUUAUCAAGAGCGCUAAUCUGUUCAUGAACUUAACUUUUGGGCACGCGUCACGAGGUGGGUGAUCGAACGGGGGAACAAAAGGGAGAUAAUUUAGAGUGUCAUCCACUUAGCAUAUGAUUAGCUUCCGCUGGAACUCUGAAAUAUUUAGGCGGAAAUUAUUCAGUUGGUGACUUUUAAGUGAUUAAAGGUGGUCUAUCAUUUGGUUUACAUAAGGUACGUACAUACUUAUGUGUUAUGUGAUAUAGUAUCAUGAUUUAAGAAGGAAAAGUUGUAGUAUCAUGUAUAGGAACUUUGUAAGUUCAUAUGUGAUUUCUAGUAUGAUUGGAUUUUUUUCAUGUUUUAUGCAUGUGUGCAAACAUGUUGAUUAUGAGAUUUGAUUAUGAGUUAAAGAUUAUCGUGUUCGUAUGGUAUUACUGAUGCAAGCAUGUGGAUGGAAACUUUAGCUAUUAAUUCACAUGGGAGAAUUAAUAUAUUAUUGAGAUUGAAUCAUGUUUAAUCAUGUGUCCCUUAUAGUAUUAUUUUCACUAUUAUACAAGGAUUGUGGGUCUUAUUUGUGAAGUUGACAAGUUAUGCCUUUGAAAGGUAAGAUUGAUUGUUGGCAACAAAGUAAGAAAGAUCGGAAUAGAAGAAAGUAAUCUUGGAUUGUAAGUGGUGAGAUCACUUAUUAAAUCCUAAGAUAAAAAGAAGUUCAGUUGUGAAUAUUUGAUUUGAUUUUUUUGUGUUACUUGUGUGUGUGUCAUAAGUAAUAAAUUGUAAAUCACGUAAAGUGUAACUUGGAUAGUAAUAAACUUUAGACUGGUGCACGUCUAAAGUUGGACAAUUAGGAGUUGGGGUACAUGGUGAGCGUGCCAUGGCUUUUCUAGGAGAUGGAUUGAUCGUCAUUCCUAUAUUUCAAAGGUUCCUCGAUAUCGCAGGUCAUUCAGAAAUACAGUCGCGCCCGUAUUUCGUCUUCCUAGGUGAAUGUAAGUUUAGAUAAGACAACUUAAUCCAAUAACUAUUCCAUUAAAGUAAUAAAAAGAUGUUUAAAGUUUAGUUCAGUAGAAGUUAUCUACAGAAUGUUAUAAUGUUAUAUUAUUAUUAUUCAUCCCUGCAUGUUAUUUAUUACUAUCAUGUUAGAAAUGUUUAUGUAAUACUAUGUAGUACUCAGCUUUGCUGAUUACGUGUUUUGUUUGUGAUUGUUGAUCACGGCUUUGCCUUAUUGAUCCUGUGAUGACCCAUUUUGGUGAGCAGAUUCUUUAGAGUAUUUACAUUUACAGGUUCGCGGAUGUGCAUCACUGGAAAUCUGGAAACGGAGAGCUUUUGUAACAUAUUAUCAUAUUUACUAUCUUAGUAGGAACAUAUUAUAAUAAGUUUUGUUUGAAGUAGACAUUUAUAAGGUGUUUGGUUUUAAGUACUUAUUUAUUUACUAUAUUAAAGUAUGAAGUUUAGUUAUAUGUUUUUCGCUGCAAAAUUCUGAAUAAGUUGAUACAUUAUCACACGGUCGAUAAUGCUUGGGUAAUUCUCUAUGUUUUAUAUUGAAAAGGUAUUUCUGAAAAGGGAGAAUUAUCGGGGUGUUAUAAAGUGGUAUCAGAGCUUCAGGUUACUUUUAUAACUUUUAGGUGUCUAACUAACUUACUAGUUAUAUGAAUAAACUCUUAGAAUUAUCAGGGUGUUAUAUCUAUCAUAUCACAAGCAUGAAAUGAAUUGGAUUGGAAUCUUAUGAUUUAUUGUUGUAGCAAGGAUGUUAUAAGACGUUGCCUAAACUAAGAAAUUAAGCAAUGUAUCUAAGAAAGAACAUUAAAUGAUUAUAUGUUUAACUUUAUGUGGAUGAAUAACAAUAAGAAGGAUAUUUGAUGAUAAACUUAUAGUUGGAAUCCCUACAAGUAAUGAACAAUAGGGGGAGUGUGGGACCUGUUCUACACUCCUAUGCAGGCCUAUUGUGAUGGACCUGGAAGAGGGGGAACAUGCCAAGUAUCCGUGUGGGACCAUGUGACGACAGUAGUGUCCUUAUAAAUUUUGAUAACUCAAGUAGGCGGAAGGUUGCGUUCGAUCUUGGGGGUAUGCAUACUAAGGUGAUGGUUGUGAAGCAGAGCGAAACCACAUUUGUAUUACAUCUAAUAGACCAAGCUGUUUAUUCUGGAUUAAGUAACCUGUAUGAUUCUAGAAAGAUGAUGGUGCCUGUUCAUUGCCAAUUAAAUUAUAUAAGUAAUAAAAUGUAAUAUUGUUGUAGUAUCAUGUAUAGGAACGAAUAAUUCUUAUUACUUUGAUUAUGCUUGGUAUAUUAUUUCAUUGUUUAA